This is a small nucleolar RNA of Sorex fumeus (smoky shrew), 132 nucleotides long. RefSeq annotates it as U8 small nucleolar RNA. The record is from RefSeq and is a predicted model, not a curated record. The transcript has a single exon. Lineage: Eukaryota; Metazoa; Chordata; Mammalia; Eulipotyphla; Soricidae.
UCGCUAUGUAGGAUAAUCCUUACUGUUGCAGUAUUCAAAGGACAGAUAAAGCAUGAUGAUUGAUGUUGGCAUGAUUCGUGAUUAAUGUCUAUGUGAUUAGGGUACCCAAUACCCUAAGUGCUCCUAUCUGAU